This 1330-nucleotide long non-coding RNA is filed under the name Sorghum bicolor (sorghum). Its description in RNAcentral is "long non-coding RNA (SBIC_LNC003651)". Lineage: Eukaryota; Viridiplantae; Streptophyta; Magnoliopsida; Poales; Poaceae. The record is from RNAcentral.
CUAUAAUUUUUCAAAUGUUCAACUGAAAUAAAUGAAAAUGAAAAAAAAACAAACCGUUGUUACUAUAGCGAAACCAUGGUUACUAUAGUGAAACCACUGUCGAAAACCACCUGAUAGGGUUAUUUGGAUGAUUUUGAAAAAUUUAGAGGGGAAAACGUUUGGUUUCAAAGUUGAGGGGUUAAGUAGUCAACUCCCAUAGUUUGGGUGGUGAAGUAGACUUAAUUUUCUAGUUUCCUAAGAAAGAAGUGUCCCUACAAUUUUACCAUCUAACCAAAGAAAAACAUAUAUCUUUUCCUAGGAUGUUUACAAACAGUAAAGAAAGAAAUAUAUUGUAGGGAAAUUUAUUGAUUCUUAGUAGUAGUGAAUGGAAUGAUUAAUUAUAUUGAUGUUCUACCGCAGAAUGCGUAUGCAUAUCAUAGCAAAAUGAUAUAGCUCAAACUGUGGCAUAUAUAUAGUACUGUUUAAACGGUGUAUGGUAGGAAAAAUACUACGACAACAAUAUUUUUAUAAACAUCUGCAGCCAUGGCGAUCAGUAUCGAAGCCUACAUGCAUUGUUUCUUUCCGUGCUCGAUCGGUCGAUCGAUCGAUCUGCAGCUUCAACAGCUAGCCAGCAACUUUGACGUGGUAAAUAAGAACGUGUGGGACAUGCUGCAUGUGCUGAUGUGCAGCAGCACAUGUUUCAUUCCUCCACGCUUGGAUCUUUGCGUCGUGCCGUUCGUGCGUCCUUCAUUAGUACCCCUACAGUACUCCAUUACUACAAAAUUCCAUUCAACCAUGUCAUGCAAAAAAAAAAAAGUCAAUAGAAUCUCUACACGCCACGCGAGAAAACCGGCCGAGUGCGGACGUACACCAACCCACGCACCCACUACUCGGUGCUAGCUUCUCGACGGUUUAAUUAGAACAAGUUUAAUAAUACAGCUCACUUGCUGGCUGUAAGGUUUCUUGUAGCCUUCUCCUAGCCCACCCAUACAAUAGUUAGUUAUUCACUAUUAAUACAUGGCCCACUUGUCCCUCUCACAAAGUUUCUUGAUUUCUGUGUCUAAGCUUUCUUGGUUUCUGUGCCUAGGCUGGCUGUAAGCUUACAGCCCGCUUCUCCUCUCUCUCCUCCCUUCUCUCCUCCACUUCAGCAUUUAGCCAGCUUACAGCCCACUAUAAUACUUGCUCUUAGGAGUUGUUCGGUUCUCCGGUAAUGAACCUAGUAACCAUUACAGUACAGCUCAUAAAAGGUUAUAUAAAUUAACCAAUAUCAUUCUGACUGAGAAUCAUUUAUCAUUUGUGUUUCUGAACAACGGGUCCUUAGAGCACUCUCAAUGCUAAGUGUACGUUCCUG